CAUUAUCGAAGCUAAGCGGCUCUAACCGGCUGUCUAACGCUACAAACCGUUGUCUUAGUAUUCUGAGGAGGCGGUCUGACGGCUGCUCCGAAUUGGUGUGCGCGUUUGGGUACCUCGUGUCUCGGGCUUAAUGAACCGCGGUUGCGGUCGCCCAAACGUGCUUUUUUUGUUUUCCCGUCGUGCACUCGUCACGGGUACCUUUCUCUGCCGACUCGCGUCGACAGGGUAGAGCUCGGUUAUUGCCAGGUUCAAAGAAUCGCCGUAGCGAUCGCCCAUGUACACGACAACCGUUCUACUCAAACCACGAUGUAUUACUAACACACAUCCGAGACAGACAGCGCGCCGACAGCGCGCGGUCUGUGUCGUUGCGACGUCGACCGGCACCGUUGCGCGGGUCGACGAGGCGCUUCGACGAAUGAUUGAACACGAUAACGAAAUGACAACUCUAAGCGGUGGAUCACUCGGCUCGUGUGUCGAUGAAGAGCGCAGCCAGCUGCGAGAAUUAAUGUGAAUUGCAGGACACAUUGAACAUCGAUAUCUUGAACGCAUAUUGCGGCCUCGGGUAAUCCCGAGGCCACGCCUGUCUCAGGGUCGGUUAGAGGUCAAUCGCGAGUCGUUCUCCGCUCGCGCUCUGGACGUCGCAGCACGCUUCGUGCCGCUGCGUCGUCUCAAGUUCAGACGGGUUGCUCGGUCGACGACGCCGGGACGAUGACUCGACUCUCGAAGAGCCCAUCUCUCUGCGUUCGGCGCAUCCGCGAUCCAAACGACGGCAAAUACAAAACGAUUUCGACCUGAGAUCAGACGAGAUUACCC
Molecule: ribosomal RNA, 813 nt
Filed under: uncultured metazoan
Lineage: Eukaryota; Metazoa
Description: eukaryotic LSU rRNA
Rfam family: 5.8S ribosomal RNA (bases 442-594)
Source: RNAcentral